GUGUGUAUGUCUGUGUGUGUGUGUAUGUCAGUGUGUCUGUGUGUGUAUGUCAGUAUGUCUGUCAUAGACACACACAGACAUACUGACAUACAUACACAAACAGACAU
Non-coding RNA from Pelobates cultripes (western spadefoot toad), 107 nucleotides. Lineage: Eukaryota; Metazoa; Chordata; Amphibia; Anura; Pelobatidae. The record is from the annotation of a GenBank genome assembly.